GAUGAACGCUGGCGGCGUGCCUAAUACAUGCAAGUCGAGCGAACGGACGAGAAGCUUGCUUCUCUGAUGUUAGCGGCGGACGGGUGAGUAACACGUGGAUAACCUACCUAUAAGACUGGGAUAACUUCGGGAAACCGGAGCUAAUACCGGAUGAUAUUUUGAACCGCAUGGUUCAAAAGUGAAAGACGGUCUUGCUGUCACUUAUAGAUGGAUCCUCGCUGCAUUAGCUAGUUGGUAAGGUAACGGCUUACCAAGGCAACGAUGCAUAGCCGACCUGAGAGGGUGAUCGGCCACACUGGAACUGAGACACGGUCCAGACUCCUACGGGAGGCAGCAGUAGGGAAUCUUCCGCAAUGGGCGAAAGCCUGACGGAGCAACGCCGCGUGAGUGAUGAAGGUCUUCGGAUCGUAAAACUCUGUUAUUAGGGAGGAACAUAUGUGUAAGUAACUGUGCACAUCUUGACGGUACCUAAUCAGAAAGCCACGGCUAACUACGUG
This 497-nucleotide ribosomal RNA is filed under the name uncultured bacterium. RNAcentral describes it as "partial 16S ribosomal RNA". It matches the Rfam family "Bacterial small subunit ribosomal RNA", at positions 28 to 507 of the family's 1533-position model. The record is from RNAcentral.